RNAcentral lists this ribosomal RNA (492 nucleotides) under uncultured bacterium. RNAcentral's name for it is "partial 16S ribosomal RNA". It matches the Rfam family "Bacterial small subunit ribosomal RNA", at positions 29 to 507 of the family's 1533-position model. The record is from RNAcentral.
AGUGAACGCUGGCGGUAGGCCUAACACAUGCAAGUCGAACGGCAGCACAGUAAGAGCUUGCUCUUACGGGUGGCGAGUGGCGGACGGGUGAGGAAUACAUCGGAAUCUACUUUUUCGUGGGGGAUAACGUAGGGAAACUUACGCUAAUACCGCAUACGACCUACGGGUGAAAGCAGGGGAUCUUCGGACCUUGCGCGAUUGAAUGAGCCGAUGUCGGAUUAGCUAGUUGGCGGGGUAAAGGCCCACCAAGGCGACGAUCCGUAGCUGGUCUGAGAGGAGGAUCGGCCACACUAGAACGUGGACACGGUCCAGACUCCUACGGGAGGCAGCAGUGGGGAAUAUGAGGCAAUGGGGGCAAGCCUGGUCCAGCCAUACCGCGUGGGUGAAGAAGGCCUUCGGGUUGUAAAGCCCUUUUGUUGGGAAAGAAAAGCAGCAGGUUAAUACCCCGCUGUUCUGACGGUACCCAAAGAAUAAGCACCGGCUAACUUCGUG